AAAUGGCAAUUAUUAAUGCCGACUUAUGCAAUAACAUGUUAAAAUUUGCAUUUCAUCAGAGUAUGUAUAUGAAUCUCACGUAGGUUAAAACAAUCUUAUUCAAUAACUGGUCUCUGCCUGUCAAUGAACAGAGUCUCUCUCUCUCUCCCGAUUAUGCCAUGUGGUGACGUAUCUGAAGAUGCUGGUUUUAUCGUUGAACACAGUCGAUG
Molecule: unclassified non-coding RNA, 209 nt
Filed under: Hevea brasiliensis (rubber tree)
Lineage: Eukaryota; Viridiplantae; Streptophyta; Magnoliopsida; Malpighiales; Euphorbiaceae
Source: RNAcentral